UCGAGAAUCUUCGGCAAUGGGCGCAAGCCUGACCGAGCGACGCCGCGUGGAGGACGAAGGCCUUCGGGUUGUAAACUCCUGUCGAGGGGGAGGAAGGCGCAAGCUUGACCGAUCCCUGGAGGAAGCACGGGCUAAGUUCGUGCCAGCAGCCGCGGUAAGACGAACCGUGCGAACGUUAUUCGGAAUUACUGGGCUUAAAGCGCGUGUAGGCGGGCCGGCACGUCCGACGCUGAAAUCCCCCGGCUCAACCGGGGAAGUGGCGGGGAUACGACCGGCCUCGAGGGGGGUAGGGGGACCUGGAACUUCCGGUGGAGCGGUGAAAUGCGUUGAGAUCGGAAGGAACGCCCGUGGCGAAAGCGAGGUCCUGGACCCUUUCUGACGCUGAGACGCGAAAGCCAGGGGAGCGAACG
This 410-nucleotide ribosomal RNA is filed under the name uncultured Tundrisphaera sp. Its description in RNAcentral is "bacterial SSU rRNA". It matches the Rfam family "Bacterial small subunit ribosomal RNA", at positions 355 to 774 of the family's 1533-position model. The record is from RNAcentral. Lineage: Bacteria; Pseudomonadati; Planctomycetota; Planctomycetia; Isosphaerales; Isosphaeraceae.